UGGGGAAUUUUGGACAAUGGGGGCAACCCUGAUCCAGCGACGCCGCGUGAAGGAUGAAGGUCUUCGGAUUGUAAACUUCUUUUAAAGGGGAUGAAUGCCCUGGUGAAUAGCCAGGGGUGACAGUACUCUUUGAAUAAGCCACGGCUAACUACGUGCCAGCAGCCGCGGUAAUACGUAGGUGGCAAGCGUUACUCGGAAUCACUAGGCGUAAAGCGCAGGUAGGAGGUUUAGUAAGUCUGUUGUGAAAGCUCCCGGCUUAACUGGGAGAGGUCAACGGAAACUGCUAGGCUAGAGUUCGGUAGAGGAAGGUGGAAUUCCCGGUGUAGCGGUGAAAUGCGUAGAUAUCGGGAGGAAUACCUAUGGCGAAAGCAGCCUUCUGGACCGUAACUGACUCUGAUCUGCGAAAGCUAGGGGAGCAAACAGG
RNAcentral lists this ribosomal RNA (424 nucleotides) under uncultured bacterium. RNAcentral's name for it is "bacterial SSU rRNA". It matches the Rfam family "Bacterial small subunit ribosomal RNA", at positions 355 to 776 of the family's 1533-position model. The record is from RNAcentral.